This 253-nucleotide ribosomal RNA is filed under the name uncultured bacterium. RNAcentral's name for it is "partial 16S ribosomal RNA". It matches the Rfam family "Bacterial small subunit ribosomal RNA", at positions 524 to 776 of the family's 1533-position model. The record is from RNAcentral.
UACAGGGGGUGCAAACGUUGCUCGGAAUUAUUGGGCGUAAAGCGCACGUAGGCGGUUUGUUAAGUCGGAUGUGAAAGCCCUCGGCUCAACCGAGGAAGUGCAUUCGAAACUGGCAGACUUGAAUAUGGAAGAGGGUCGCGGAAUUCCCGGUGUAGAGGUGAAAUUCGUAGAUAUCGGGAGGAAUACCAGUGGCGAAGGCGGCGACCUGGGCCAAUAUUGACGCUGAGGUGCGAAAGCGUGGGGAGCAAACAGG